This 442-nucleotide ribosomal RNA is filed under the name uncultured bacterium. RNAcentral describes it as "partial 16S ribosomal RNA". It matches the Rfam family "Bacterial small subunit ribosomal RNA", at positions 338 to 795 of the family's 1533-position model. The record is from RNAcentral.
CCUACGGGAGGCAGCAGUGGGGAAUAUUGGGCAAUGGGCGCAAGCCUGACCCAGCAACGCCGCGUGAAGGAAGAAGGCUUUCGGGUUGUAAACUUCUUUUCUCAGGGACGAAGAAAGUGACGGUACCUGAGGAAUAAGCCACGGCUACCUACGUGCCAGCAGCCGCGGUAAUACGAAGUUGGCAAGCGUUAUCCGGAUUUAUUGGGGUUAAAGGGUGCGUGGGCGGAAUGCCAAGUCAGCGGUAAAAUCGCGGGGCUCAACCUCGCUCCGCCGUUGAAACUGGCGUUCUUGAGUGGGCGAGAGGUAGGCGGAAUGCGUAGUGUAGCGGUGAAAUGCAUAGAUAUCACGCAGAACUCCGAUUGCGAAGGCAGCAUACCGGCGCCCAACUGACGCUGAAGCGCGAAAGCGUGGGGAGCGAACAGGAUUAGAUACCCGUGUAGUC